Molecule: small RNA, 27 nt
Filed under: Bombyx mori (domestic silkworm)
Lineage: Eukaryota; Metazoa; Arthropoda; Insecta; Lepidoptera; Bombycidae
Description: ovarian small RNA-19475
Source: RNAcentral
UAAGUUCUGUUACAAAUGAAUGUGCAU